GAUGAACGCUGGCGGCGUGCCUAAUACAUGCAAGUCGAGCGAACGGACGAGAAGCUUGCUUCUCUGAUGUUAGCGGCGGACGGGUGAGUAACACGUGGAUAACCUACCUAUAAGACUGGGAUAACUUCGGGAAACCGUAGCUAAUACCGGAUAAUAUUUUGAACCGCAUGGUUCAAAAGUGAAAGACGGUCUUGCUGUCACUUAUAGAUGGAUCCGCGCUGCAUUAGCUAGUUGGUAAGGUAACGGCUUACCAAGGCAACGAUGCAUAGCCGACCUGAGAGGGUGAUCGGCCACACUGGAACUGAGACACGGUCCAGACUCCUACGGGAGGCAGCAGUAGGGAAUCUUCCGCAAUGGGCGAAAGCCUGACGGAGCAACGCCGCGUGAGUGAUGAAGGUCUUCGGAUCGUAAAACUCUGUUAUUAGGGAAGAACAUAUGUGUAAGUAACUGUGCACAUCUUGACGGUACCUAAUCAGAAAGCCACGGCUAACUACGUGCCAGCAGCCGCGGUAAUACGUAGGUGGCAAGCGUUAUCCGGAAUUAUUGGGCGUAAAGCGCGCGUAGGCGGUUUUUUAAGUCUGAUGUGAAAGCCCACGGCUCAGCCGUGGAGGGUCAUUGGAAACUGGAAAACUUGAGUGCAGAAGAGGAAAGUGGAAUUCCAUGUGUAGCGGUGAAAUGCGCAGAGAUAUGGAGGAACACCAGUGGCGAAGGCGACUUUCUGGUCUGUAACUGACGCUGAUGUGCGAAAGCGUGGGGAUCAAACAGGAUUAGAUACCCUGGUAGUCCACGCCGUAAACGAUGAGUGCUAAGUGUUAGGGGGUUUCCGCCCCUUAGUGCUGCAGCUAACGCAUUAAGCACUCCGCCUGGGGAGUACGACCGCAAGGUUGAAACUCAAAGGAAUUGACGGGGACCCGCACAAGCGGUGGAGCAUGUGGUUUAAUUCGAAGCAACGCGAAGAACCUUACCAAAUCUUGACAUCCUUUGACAACUCUAGAGAUAGAGCCUUCCCCUUCGGGGGACAAAGUGACAGGUGGUGCAUGGUUGUCGUCAGCUCGUGUCGUGAGAUGUUGGGUUAAGUCCCGCAACGAGCGCAACCCUUAAGCUUAGUUGCCAUCAUUAAGUUGGGCACUCUAAGUUGACUGCCGGUGACAAACCGGAGGAAGGUGGGGAUGACGUCAAAUCAUCAUGCCCCUUAUGAUUUGGGCUACACACGUGCUACAAUGGACAAUACAAAGGGCAGCGAAACCGCGAGGUCAAGCAAAUCCCAUAAAGUUGUUCUCAGUUCGGAUUGUAGUCUGCAACUCGACUACAUGAAGCUGGAAUCGCUAGUAAUCGUAGAUCAGCAUGCUACGGUGAAUACGUUCCCGGGUCU
This 1372-nucleotide ribosomal RNA is filed under the name uncultured bacterium. Its description in RNAcentral is "bacterial SSU rRNA". It matches the Rfam family "Bacterial small subunit ribosomal RNA", at positions 28 to 1381 of the family's 1533-position model. The record is from RNAcentral.